ACGACGCUGGCGGCGUGCUUAACACAUGCAAGUCGAACGGUGAACCAGAGCUUGCUCUGGGGAUCAGUGGCGAACGGGUGAGUAACACGUGGGCAACCUGCCCCAGACUCUGGGAUAACCUCGGGAAACCGAUGCUAAUACCGGAUACGACCACUUCGGACAUCCGACGGUGGUGGAAAGUUUUUCGGUCUGGGAUGGGCCCGCGGCCUAUCAGCUAGUUGGUAGGGUAACGGCCUACCAAGUCUACGAUCAUUAGGGGUUCUGAGAGGAAGGUCCCCCACACUGGUACUGAGACACGGACCAGACUCCUACGGGAGGCAGCAGUGAGGAAUAUUGGUCAAUGGGCGAGAGCCUGAACCAGCCAAGUCGCGUGAAGGAAGAAGGUUCUAUGGAUUGUAAACUUCUUUUGCAGGGGAAUAAAGGACGGUACGUGUACUGUUUUGUAUGUACCUUGCGAAUAAGGAUCGGCUAACUCCGUG
RNAcentral lists this ribosomal RNA (479 nucleotides) under uncultured bacterium. RNAcentral describes it as "bacterial SSU rRNA". It matches the Rfam family "Bacterial small subunit ribosomal RNA", at positions 32 to 507 of the family's 1533-position model. The record is from RNAcentral.